AGUGAACGCUGGCGGUAGGCCUAACACAUGCAAGUCGAACGGCAGCACAGUAAGAGCUUGCUCUUACGGGUGGCGAGUGGCGGACGGGUGAGGAAUACAUCGGAAUCUACUUUUUCGUGGGGGAUAACGUAGGGAAACUUACGCUAAUACCGCAUACGACCUACGGGUGAAAGCAGGGGAUCUUCGGACCUUGCGCGAUUGAAUGAGCCGAUGUCGGAUUAGCUAGUUGGCGGGGUAAAGGCCCACCAAGGCGACGAUCCGUAGCUGGUCUGAGAGGAUGAUCCGCCACACUGGAACCUAGGCACCGUCCCGACUCCCACGGGAGGCCGCCGUUGGGAAUUUUUGACCAUGGGCCGCAGCCCGGUCCCGCCCUUCCCCGUGGGUUGAGAAGGGCCUUCGGUUUUUAAGCCCCUUUGUUGGGAAAGAAAAGCAGCAGGUUAAUACCCCGCUGUUCUGACGGUACCCAAAGAAUAAGCACCGGCUAACUUCGUG
This 492-nucleotide ribosomal RNA is filed under the name uncultured bacterium. Its description in RNAcentral is "partial 16S ribosomal RNA". It matches the Rfam family "Bacterial small subunit ribosomal RNA", at positions 29 to 507 of the family's 1533-position model. The record is from RNAcentral.